GUGGGCCAUGAUGUGGACCAUUUUACAUCUCCUGAAGGGAUACCUGGAGUGCCUGAAACAAAUUUCAACAAUCGUCCUAACUCCUUCAAAGUACUCUCUCCAGCUCGUACUUGUGUGGCUUACUAUAGAGUUGAAGAAAAGGAAGGAAAUCACAAUAGUAGUGGGGCUGCAAAUGACGCAUUGACAGCAGUUGUUGUGGCAAAGCUGGGGGAUUUUGAAGAAGGUGUCAAUCAGACAUUCACAGCAGAUACUUUUGCAAAGCAGGAGGAUUUGGAAGAAGUUGUCAAUGAGGCGUCAGCAGCAGAUGCUGUGGCAAUGCAGGAGGAUUUUAAAGCACGGCCUUCUUCGGUUGCCAGUGAUGUUGGUCC
Molecule: unclassified non-coding RNA, 368 nt
Filed under: Hevea brasiliensis (rubber tree)
Lineage: Eukaryota; Viridiplantae; Streptophyta; Magnoliopsida; Malpighiales; Euphorbiaceae
Source: RNAcentral